CGCCAUCUUGGCCCCGCGGAGCGUGACUGUCUCGGCUGGAAGCGUGGGAGGCCGGAGGAUCAGUGACUGGCUGUCGUGGACAUGCUCGCUACACCUCCCGGGGCUUCGCUUCGUUUACUAUUAACUGUCGUUACUCCUCUGUAUCUCGUCAGCAGGGGCUGCCUGCGGUGUUAGAAUUACACGCCCCUGCCACCUGGGCACGGAGCCCAGUCUCCCGGCCCCUCAGUCAGUCCUUGGGUGUAGCUGGAGCAUUUAAGAAAAAUGAAAUAUAGGAACUCAGUGCAUGGUUUCCUGGGCCUUUUUAUUGAAUAUCAUUUCUAACAUGUACACAGUAUAACCCAGGCUUAGUGGAUUCCGGGACAGAAAAUGUUGGGAGCUGGGAUAGUCAAGUAAACAAGAAGAAAUGGUAAAGAGAUGCCAAGUGGGAGAGGAAACUACGGAUGCAGAGAGAGGAUCUGGGAUAAAGAGAACAAAGAUGCGUGGUCGACUUUAUGGAAACUCGUUUCUUUUUAAUAAGUUAGCCAAGUGAAGCAGUGGGAGUGGAGAAGGAACAAAGAAAUCUGUAAAGUAGUUGUGAUCAAUUAGUUGUAAACACCACUGCACUCAGACUCAGACCAGCUUGCAUUGAUUUUUAUGACCUAAUCUCAGAGGUUGUACAGCGUCACUUCCACUGUACUCUACUUGUUGAAGCAGCUACAAAAACACCACAUUUAAGUAAAGGGGACACUAAUUGGGAGGAGUGUUAGUCACAUUAUAAGAAGAGCAUGUGGAAUGAGAGAUUAAGUAGAGAUAUUAUUGCAGUCAUUUAAGGAAAAUAUAAUCUCCCAUAAUAUUAAUAUCUGUUUUCCUUUUGUAAAAAAAAAAUGUACCAUUUCAGGCUGAGCAUGUUGGCUCAUGCCUGUAAUCAUAACAUUUUGGGAGGCUGAGGCCAGUGGAUCACCUGAGGUCAGGAAUUCGAGACCAGCCUGGCCAACAUGGCGAAACCUCGUCUCUGUUAAAAAUACAAAAAUUAGCCGGGUGUGGUGGCAGUCACCUAUAAUCCCAGCUACUCGGAAGGCUGAGGCAGGAGAAUCGCUUGAACCCAGGGGCGGAGGUUGCAGGGAGCUGGUACCACCACUGCACUCCAGCCUGGAUGACAGAGUGAAACUCUGUCUCAAAAAAACAAAACAAAACAAAAACUAAAAUGUACCAUUUCAGAUUUUUUUUCUGAAAUUAAACCUGAAAAGGUCAAAAAACACAUAAAUUACAGUCCCUUUCAAUUACUUACCAGGUACAGGUAUUGUUUAAGUCUAUAGAAGUUCAGACUAUAGUAGUUCAAAAUACCUUAUACAGGGCAGCUUAUAAAAAGCAGAAGUUUAUUUCUCAUAGUUCUGAAGACUGGGAAGUCCGGGUUCAAGGUUCUGGCAGAUUCAGUGCCUGUCGAGGGACUGCUUUUUGGUUCACAGAUAGUGUCUUCUAGCUGUCUCCUCAUGUGGUAGAAGGGUGCCUUUUUUAUUAGUACCCCUAGUUUUAUUUAUUUUAUUUUAUUUUUUAGAGACAGGGGUUUUACUAUGUUGCCCAGGCUAGCCUCAAACUCCUGGGCUUGAGCGAUCCUCCCACCUCAGCCUCCCAAGUAGUUGGGACUACAGGCACAUGUUAAAACACCUGGUUCCUAUUAGUGGUUAUUUUAUAAAGGCACUAAUCUCAUCUGUGGCACCAGAGCCCUCAUGACCUAAUUACCUCCCAAAGAUCCCAUCCCCUAAUACCAUCAUAUUGGUGAUGAGGUUUCAAUACAUGAAUUUGGGGGGCUGGGGACACAAACAUUCAGACCACAGUAGUUGUUACAUUGAUAUGAGCUGGUAAGUGUUAACACCUGGCAGCAAUCAGAUACCCAGCCAUAGGUGAAGGCAGGUGAUUAGAAUUACCAGCCAACACAUUUAUGUGCUAGCUAAUUUUUAUUCAAAACUUUCUGAAGCUACAUUCAAAGCAGUUAAUGGGAAAUGGAGUAAAAAAAUAGGCAACCUCUCACUCUAGAUAAUGCUGUUAAAAGUAAUUUUUCCUCCCAGUCCUCUCCUGUAAUGAAUAGUAUAAGAAGGUAUCCUCCCAACGUAGAGGCACCUUGUGUUUCCAAAGUUUUAAUUAGUUGUCAUGAUAAUUUUAUGUGUCAACUUGACUGGGUUAAGGGAUGCCCAAAUAGGUAGUAAAACAUUAUUUCUGGGUGUAUCUGUGAAGGUGUUUCUGGAUAAAAUUAACAUUUGAAUGGGUAGACUGAGUAGAGCAGACUGUCCUCCCCCAUGUGGGUGGCCCUUAUCCAAAUGGUUGAAGGCUAAAAUAGAACAAAAAAGCUGAGUAGAGGGGAUUCCCUCUGCCUGACUACCUUCGAACUGGGGCGGUGGCUGUUUCCUGCCUUUGGACUUGAACUGAAACAUCAGCUCUUCCUGAGUCUUGAGCCUCCUGGCUUUUGAACUGAAACAACAGUAAUGGCUCUCCUGGUUCUCAGGCAUUUGGACUUUGACUAGAACUACACCAUCAGUUCUCCUGGGUCUCCAGCUUGCCAAUCUCCAGUUUGCCAACUGCGGAUCUUGGGACUUGUCAGCCUCCAUAACUCCAUGAACCAAUUUUUUGUAAUAAAUCUCUUUCUAUAUGUCUAUUUAUUCUGUUGGUUCUGUUUCUCUGGAGAACCCUAAUG
This 2668-nucleotide long non-coding RNA is filed under the name Homo sapiens (human). RNAcentral's name for it is "non-protein coding lnc-EIF2AK4-1:1". Lineage: Eukaryota; Metazoa; Chordata; Mammalia; Primates; Hominidae. The record is from RNAcentral.